GUUAACACCAUGUAGGGGAGCAGGUGCCUUAAAGUCUGGCUUCGCCCCCAAAAGAGAACUGCGUUUAAAUUGACUAACUUAACAACGCAGAUCCAGCAAUAAACCAGACUGAACAUAGAACCACAGUGAGCAUUACAGAACUUAACACGUGUAAUCUUAAUACACCAAUUAAUGGUGAUUUUAUCACCAUGCACUGUGAAAAUCCACAGCAUGAGGCCAACUGUAACAGGCCAGGUCUGCACUACAGACUUGGAUCACUAUAACUACGUCGUUCAGAAGUGUGAAAAAUCCAGAACCCUGAGUGACGCAGUUAUGCCGACCUAACCCCCAGUGCAGACGGUGUUAUGUCAUCAGGAGAGCUCCUCCCAUUGACAUAGCGAGGAACAGAAUUUACCUAACAACAUUUAUGAAAGGCUGAUUCCAGUGCUUGAAAAUGAUGGAGGAAAUUUUGAACUUUGGCUCUCUGUCACACUGUCAAAAAAGCAGCUUGCUUCUUUAAUAUUUGAAUAAUACUGGAG
Mauremys reevesii (Reeves's turtle) is the source of this 518-nucleotide long non-coding RNA. RefSeq lists it as uncharacterized. The transcript has 4 exons. The record is from RefSeq and is a predicted model, not a curated record. NCBI's taxonomy places the organism in Eukaryota, Metazoa, Chordata, Testudines, Geoemydidae.